GCAUGACAGAAUUUGGGUGCUAGAUGGAGGAUUGCCAAAAUGGCGUACGUUAGGAUAUGAUGUUGAAUCCAGUGCAUCUGGUGAUGCCAUUUUGAAAGCUACGGCUGCAAGUGAGGCAAUAGAGAAAAUUUAUCAGGGGCAAGCUGUUGGGCCAAUUACAUUUCAGACUAAGUUUCAGCCACAGCUGGUCUGGGACCUUGAGAAGGUUCAAGAGAAUGUCACAGGAAGAACUCACCAACACAUAGAUGCCCGAUCAAAGGCCAGAUUUGAUGGGGCUGUCCCGGAGCCUCGGAAAGGAAUCAGAAGUGGCCAUGUUCCUGGCAGCAAGUGCAUUCCUUUU
Molecule: unclassified non-coding RNA, 340 nt
Filed under: Hevea brasiliensis (rubber tree)
Lineage: Eukaryota; Viridiplantae; Streptophyta; Magnoliopsida; Malpighiales; Euphorbiaceae
Source: RNAcentral